AGAGUUUGAUCAUGGCUCAGAUUGAACGCUGGCGGAAUGCUUUACACAUGCAAGUCGAACGGCAGCACGGGAGCUUGCUCCUGGUGGCGAGUGGCGAACGGGUGAGUAAUGCGUCGGAACGUACCGAGUAAUGGGGGAUAACGCAGCGAAAGCUGUGCUAAUACCGCAUACGCCCUGAGGGGGAAAGUGGGGGAUCGCAAGACCUCACGUUAUUCGAGCGGCCGACGUCUGAUUAGCUAGUUGGUGGGGUAAAGGCUCACCAAGGCGACGAUCAGUAGCGGGUCUGAGAGGAUGAUCCGUCACACUGGAACUGAGACACGGUCCAGACUCCUACGGGAGGCAGCAGUGGGGAAUUUUGGACAAUGGGGGCAACCCCGAUCCAGCCAUUCCGCGUGAGUGAAGAAGGCCUUCGGGUUGUAAAGCUCUUUCAGCCGGAACGAAACGGUACGCACUAAUAUUGUGUGCUAAUGACGGUACCGGCAGAAGAAGCACCGGCUAACUACGUGCCAGCAGCCGCGGUAAUACGUAGGGUGCGAGCGUUAAUCGGAAUUACUGGGCGUAAAGCGUGCGCAGGCGGAUUGUUAAGCAAGAUGUGAAAUCCCCGGGCUUAACCUGGGAAUGGCAUUUUGAACUGGCAGUCUAGAGUGUGUCAGAGGGGGGUGGAAUUCCACGUGUAGCAGUGAAAUGCGUAGAUAUGUGGAGGAACACCAAUGGCGAAGGCAGCCCCCUGGGAUAACACUGACGCUCAUGUACGAAAGCGUGGGUAGCAAACAGGAUUAGAUACCCUGGUAGUCCACGCCCUAAACGAUGUCAACUGGUUGUUGGGGGAGUGAAAUCCCUUAGUAACGAAGCUAACGCGUGAAGUUGACCGCCUGGGGAGUACGGUCGCAAGAUUAAAACUCAAA
This 905-nucleotide ribosomal RNA is filed under the name uncultured bacterium. Its description in RNAcentral is "bacterial SSU rRNA". It matches the Rfam family "Bacterial small subunit ribosomal RNA", at positions 8 to 905 of the family's 1533-position model. The record is from RNAcentral.